This is a long non-coding RNA of Poeciliopsis prolifica (blackstripe livebearer), 228 nucleotides long. RefSeq lists it as uncharacterized. The transcript has 3 exons. The record is from RefSeq and is a predicted model, not a curated record. Lineage: Eukaryota; Metazoa; Chordata; Actinopteri; Cyprinodontiformes; Poeciliidae.
AUUUCAUCUCCUGCUUCCAGUUGACUUUCCUGAACUCCAGCUGCGUUUCCUCUGUUCCAGGAUCUGAACGGUUUCCGCACUGCAGCAGCAGAAAAUGGAAACCCUGCAGCCUCUGACCUUCCUCACCAUCCUCAUCCUCACCAGCCAGCUUGAGAUGAAGGACGAGACGACGACCCUGCAUCCAGAGGCCGGAGGACUGGGAGGACUGGGAGGACUGGGAGGACUGGG